RNAcentral lists this transfer RNA (94 nucleotides) under Thermodesulfovibrionales bacterium. Its description in RNAcentral is "tRNA-Ser". It matches the Rfam family "tRNA". Rfam says of the family: Transfer RNA (tRNA) molecules are approximately 80 nucleotides in length. Lineage: Bacteria; Pseudomonadati; Nitrospirota; Thermodesulfovibrionia; Thermodesulfovibrionales. The record is from RNAcentral.
GGAGAGAUGUCCGAGCGGCUGAAGGAGCACGACUGGAAAUCGUGUGUGGGGGUUAAAAACUCCACCGUGGGUUCAAAUCCCACUCUCUCCGCCA